GACGCGUACUCACACAAACAUGCUCCCAUCACUCCAUCUAAGGACUGUCCUCCCCUUACUUUCUUUCGGUCUGCUACACGAUCAGCUAGACAUUCUAAAUAUAUUUUGCAUAGCAAAGUGCAGGGGUGAAGGAACUAUUACUUACGAGCAAUGGCAUGUUACAGAGCAAUGUUUCGGCGGACAAUCAAUCUUGAAGGUUCACCAAAAAUAAUGGCUUCUAUUCUGCAUAAGCCUCAUACCUUUAUCUUCCAUAACCUGCUAUCACUCUUCUCAUAAAUAACACUGUCUUUAAUCGUUAUAGAUCUAGAUAUCCUGCAACACCGUUCUUCAAUUAUCAGAUUAAUACUAAAUAGGACCUUUGUGUGUUAUUUUUAUUUAACAUGAUGAGUUUAAUCUUAUCUAUCAGACUUAAGGUACUGUUUGAAUGCCAUUACAAUGUGUACUAACUGCAGAUUAACUCUAUCUUCACCAUAUUGUUAAGCUUUCAACAACAAUUAAAAAAUUAAAAAAAUUAAUGUUAAUAAUUGCCAUGAUGCUGUAUAAUCUGUAUUAUCUCACCGUCUUGUACUUGCUAUUGUGGCAAUACAAGCAUGUUUGUUAAACCUAAGCACUGC
Molecule: non-coding RNA, 614 nt
Organism: Pelobates cultripes (western spadefoot toad)
Lineage: Eukaryota; Metazoa; Chordata; Amphibia; Anura; Pelobatidae
Source: the annotation of a GenBank genome assembly